AUCGAACGCUGGCGGCAUGCCUUACACAUGCAAGUCGAACGGCAGCACGAAAGCUCUUGCCCUUUUGGUGGCUAGUGGCGAGCGGCCGAGUCAUGCAUUCGAACGUACUGCGCAAUGGGGGUUCUCUUACCGGAUGGUUUGCUCAUACCGCAUAUGCUUUGAGAUGGAAUGUGGGGGCUUUUCGUUCCCUACGUUAUUCGAUAGGCGCAUGUCUGAUUAGCUAGUUGGUGGGGUAAAGGCCUACCAAGGCGACGAUCUGUAGCGGGUCUGAGAGGAUGAUCCGCCAGACGGGGACUGAGACACGGCCCAGACUCCUACGGGAGGCAGCAGUGGAGAAUUUUGGACGAGGGGGGCAAGCCUGAUACAGCCAUGCCGCGUGUCUGAAGAAGGCCUUCGGGUUGUAAAGGACUGUUGUUAGGGAAGAAAAAGAUAGUGUUAAUACCAGUAGCUGCUGACGGUACCGAAAGAAUAAGCACCGGCUAACUACGUG
RNAcentral lists this ribosomal RNA (490 nucleotides) under uncultured bacterium. RNAcentral's name for it is "partial 16S ribosomal RNA". It matches the Rfam family "Bacterial small subunit ribosomal RNA", at positions 30 to 507 of the family's 1533-position model. The record is from RNAcentral.